Molecule: ribosomal RNA, 251 nt
Filed under: uncultured bacterium
Lineage: Bacteria
Description: partial 16S ribosomal RNA
Rfam family: Bacterial small subunit ribosomal RNA
Source: RNAcentral
UACGGAGGAUGCGAGCGUUAUCCGGAUUUAUUGGGUUUAAAGGGUGCGUAGGCGGGACCUUAAGUCAGCGGUAAAAUUGCGGUGCUCAACGCCGUAGAGCCGUUGAAACUGGGGUUCUUGAGUGAGCGAGAAGUAUGCGGAAUGCGUGGUGUAGCGGUGAAAUGCAUAGAUAUCACGCAGAACCCCGAUUGCGAAGGCAGCAUACCGGCGCUCAACUGACGCUGAGGCACGAAAGUGCGGGUAUCGAACAG